UACGUAGGGGGCUAGCGUUAUCCGGAUUUACUGGGCGUAAAGGGUGCGUAGGUGGUCUCUUAAGUCAGGAGUGAAAGGCUACGGCUUAACCGUAGUAAGCUCUUGAAACUGGGAGACUUGAGUGCAGGAGAGGAAAGUGGAAUUCCUAGUGUAGCGGUGAAAUGCGUAGAUAUUAGGAGGAACACCAGUAGCGAAGGCGGCUUUCUGGACUGUAACUGACACUGAGGCACGAAAGCGUGGGGAGCAAACAGG
RNAcentral lists this ribosomal RNA (252 nucleotides) under uncultured bacterium. Its description in RNAcentral is "partial 16S ribosomal RNA". It matches the Rfam family "Bacterial small subunit ribosomal RNA", at positions 524 to 776 of the family's 1533-position model. The record is from RNAcentral.